This 72-nucleotide transfer RNA is filed under the name Camelus bactrianus (Bactrian camel). It matches the Rfam family "tRNA". Rfam says of the family: Transfer RNA (tRNA) molecules are approximately 80 nucleotides in length. Their secondary structure includes four short double-helical elements and three loops (D, anti-codon, and T loops). Lineage: Eukaryota; Metazoa; Chordata; Mammalia; Artiodactyla; Camelidae. RNAcentral also lists the same sequence under 1 other name. The record is from Rfam by way of RNAcentral.
GGAGGCACAGCUUGAUGGUAGAGCGCGUGCUUAGCACGCACGAGGUCCUAGGUUCAAUCCCUGAUACUGCCU